UACGUAGGUGGCAAGCGUUGUCCGGAUUUACUGGGUGUAAAGGGCGUGCAGCCGGAGAGACAAGUCAGAUGUGAAAUCCACGGGCUCAACCCGUGAACUGCAUUUGAAUCUGUUUCCCUUGAGUGUCGGAGAGGUAAUCGGAAUUCCUUGUGUAGCGGUGAAAUGCGUAGAUAUAAGGAAGAACACCAGUGGCGAAGGCGGAUUACUGGACGAUAACUGACGGUGAGGCGCGAAAGCGUGGGGAGCAAACAGG
RNAcentral lists this ribosomal RNA (253 nucleotides) under uncultured bacterium. RNAcentral's name for it is "partial 16S ribosomal RNA". It matches the Rfam family "Bacterial small subunit ribosomal RNA", at positions 524 to 776 of the family's 1533-position model. The record is from RNAcentral.